This 1062-nucleotide ribosomal RNA is filed under the name unidentified rumen bacterium 30-41. Its description in RNAcentral is "bacterial SSU rRNA". It matches the Rfam family "Bacterial small subunit ribosomal RNA", at positions 8 to 1066 of the family's 1533-position model. The record is from RNAcentral. Lineage: Bacteria; Pseudomonadati; Bacteroidota; Bacteroidia; Bacteroidales; Bacteroidaceae.
AGAGUUUGAUCCUGGCUCAGGAUGAACGCUAGCUACAGGCUUAACACAUGCAAGUCGAGGGGCAUCAUGGAGUUUGCUUGCAAACUCUGAUGGCGACCGGCGCACGGGUGAGUAACGCGUAUCCAACCUUCCCUAUAGUAGAGGAUAGCCCGGCGAAAGUCGGAUUAAUACUCUAUGUUUUCCGUUGCAGACAUCUAAGAUGGAACAAAGGCUUGCCGCUAUAGGAUGGGGAUGCGUCUGAUUAGGUAGUCGGCGGGGUAACGGCCCACCGAGCCAUCGAUCAGUAGGGGUUCUGAGAGGAAGGUCCCCCACAUUGGAACUGAGACACGGUCCAAACUCCUACGGGAGGCAGCAGUGAGGAAUAUUGGUCAAUGGGCGAGAGCCUGAACCAGCCAAGUAGCGUGCAGGACGACGGCCCUAUGGGUUGUAAACUGCUUUUAUGCGGGGAUAAAGUUCACUACGUGUAGUGUUUUGUAGGUACCGCAUGAAUAAGGACCGGCUAAUUCCGUGCCAGCAGCCGCGGUAAUACGGAAGGUCCGGGCGUUAUCCGGAUUUAUUGGGUUUAAAGGGAGCGCAGGCGGAAGGUUAAGCGUGACGUGAAAUGUACCGGCUCAACCGGUGAUGUGCGUCGCGAACUGGCUUUCUUGAGUGAGUACGACGCUGGCGGAAUUCGUGGUGUAGCGGUGAAAUGCUUAGAUAUCACGAAGAACUCCGAUUGCGAAGGCAGCCGGCGAGUCCUCAACUGACGCUAAUGCUCGAAAGUGCGGGUAUCGAACAGGAUUAGAUACCCUGGUAGUCCGCACGGUAAACGAUGGAUGCCCGCUGUUGGCGACACACUGUCAGCGGCCAAGCGAAAGCGUUAAGCAUCCCACCUGGGGAGUACGCCGGCAACGGUGAAACUCAAAGGAAUUGACGGGGGCCCGCACAAGCGGAGGAACAUGUGGUUUAAUUCGAUGAUACGCGAGGAACCUUACCCGGGCUUGAACUGCAGCAGAACGAUAGAGAGAUCUUGAGNNUCGGGGCUGCUGUGGAGGUGCUGCAUGGUUGUCGUCAGCUCGUGCC